Molecule: ribosomal RNA, 447 nt
Filed under: uncultured bacterium
Lineage: Bacteria
Description: bacterial SSU rRNA
Rfam family: Bacterial small subunit ribosomal RNA
Source: RNAcentral
GAGCCAGACUCCUACGGGAGGCAGCAGUGGGGAAUAUUGCACAAUGGGGGAAACCCUGAUGCAGCGACGCCGCGUGAGCGAUGAAGUAUUUCGGUAUGUAAAGCUCUAUCAGCAGGGAAGAAAAUGACGGUACCUGAAGAAGAAGCCCCGGCUAACUACGUGCCAGCAGCCGCGGUAAUACGUAGGGGGCAAGCGUUAUCCGGAUUUACUGGGUGUAAAGGGGGCGCAGACGGCAAUGCAAGCCAGGAGUGAAAGCCCGGGGCCCAACCCCGGGACUGCUCUUGGAACUGCAUGGCUGGAGUACAGGAGGGGCAGGCGGAAUUCCUAGUGUAGCGGUGAAAUGCGUAGAUAUUAGGAGGAACACCGGUGGCGAAGGCGGCCUGCUGGACUGUGACUGACGUUGAGGCCCGAAGGCGUGGGGAGCAAACAGGAUUAGAUACCCGCGUA